GAUAAGUGUGGGGCUGUGAAGGUUAUUCUGUAUGUGGGCGCUUGGAAUAACUGAAGCUAGUAGCGCAACCGACCGCUUUCUUU
This 83-nucleotide non-coding RNA is filed under the name Fictibacillus phosphorivorans. RNAcentral's name for it is "c-di-GMP-II sequence". It matches the Rfam family "Cyclic di-GMP-II riboswitch aptamer". Lineage: Bacteria; Bacillati; Bacillota; Bacilli; Caryophanales; Fictibacillaceae. The record is from RNAcentral.